GUCGCGGCCCUAAUCAGCUUGUUGGUGAGGUAACGGCUCACCAAGGCGACGACGGGUAGCCGGCCUGAGAGGGCGACCGGCCACACUGGGACUGAGACACGGCCCAGACUCCUACGGGAGGCAGCAGUGGGGAAUAUUGCACAAUGGGCGAAAGCCUGAUGCAGCGACGCCGCGUGAGGGAUGACGGCCUUCGGGUUGUAAACCUCUUUCAGCAGGGAAGAAGCGAAAGUGACGGUACCUGCAGAAGAAGCGCCGGCUAACUACGUGCCAGCAGCCGCGGUAAUACGUAGGGCGCGAGCGUUGUCCGGAAUUAUUGGGCGUAAAGAGCUCGUAGGCGGCUUGUCGCGUCGGUUGUGAAAGCCCGGGGCUUAACCCCGGGUCUGCAGUCGAUACGGGCAGGCUAGAGUUCGGUAGGGGAGAUCGGAAUUCCUGGUGUAGCGGUGAAAUGCGCAGAUAUCAGGAGGAACACCGGUGGCGAAGGCGGAUCUCUGGGCCGAUACUGACGCUGAGGAGCGAAAGCGUGGGGAGCGAACAGGAUUAGAUACCCUGGUAGUCCACGCCGUAAACGGUGGGMACUAGGUGUGUGGCGACAUUCCACGUCGUCCGUGCCGCAGCUAACGCAUUAAGUGCCCCGCCUGGGGGAGUACGGG
Molecule: ribosomal RNA, 650 nt
Filed under: uncultured Streptomyces sp.
Lineage: Bacteria; Bacillati; Actinomycetota; Actinomycetes; Kitasatosporales; Streptomycetaceae
Description: bacterial SSU rRNA
Rfam family: Bacterial small subunit ribosomal RNA
Source: RNAcentral